This 546-nucleotide ribosomal RNA is filed under the name Triticum aestivum (bread wheat). RNAcentral describes it as "partial small subunit ribosomal RNA". Lineage: Eukaryota; Viridiplantae; Streptophyta; Magnoliopsida; Poales; Poaceae. The record is from RNAcentral.
AUGGGGCUCGCGUUCGGGAAGCUCUUCAGCCGGCUUUUCGCCAAGAAGGAGAUGCGGAUCCUCAUGGUCGGUCUUGAUGCUGCCGGAAAGACCACCAUCCUCUACAAGCUGAAGCUCGGCGAGAUCGUUACCACUAUCCCAACCAUAGGGUUCAAUGUUGAAACUGUCGAGUACAAGAACAUUAGCUUCACUGUUUGGGAUGUUGGGGGUCAGGACAAGAUCAGACCUCUCUGGAGGCAUUACUUCCAGAACACGCAGGGUCUUAUCUUUGUUGUGGACAGCAAUGAUAGGGACCGUGUUGUUGAAGCCAGAGAUGAGCUCCACAGGAUGCUGAAUGAGGAUGAGUUGCGCGAUGCUGUGUUGCUUGUCUUUGCCAACAAGCAAGAUCUUCCAAAUGCUAUGAAUGCUGCUGAAAUUACUGAUAAGCUUGGAUUACAUUCCCUUCGUCAACGUCACUGGUACAUCCAGAGCACAUGUGCUACAUCCGGUGAGGGUCUGUAUGAGGGCCUGGACUGGCUAUCCAGUAACAUUGCCAGCAAGGCUUGA